GCGAACGCUGGCGGCAGGCUUCACACAUGCAAGUCGAGCGGGCACCUUCGGGUGUCAGCGGCAGACGGGUGAGUAACACGUGGGAACGUACCCUUCGGUUCGGAAUAACGCUGGGAAACUAGCGCUAAUACCGGAUACGCCCUUAUGGGGAAAGGUUUACUGCCGAAGGAUCGGCCCGCGUCUGAUUAGCUAGUUGGUGGGGUAACGGCCUACCAAGGCGACGAUCAGUAGCUGGUCUGAGAGGAUGAUCAGCCACACUGGGACUGAGACACGGCCCAGACUCCUACGGGAGGCAGUAGUGGGGAAUAUUGGACAAUGGGCGCAAGCCUGACCCAGCCAUGCCGCGUGAGUGAUGAAGGCCUUAGGGUUGUAAAGCUCUUUUGUCCGGGACGAUAAUGACGGUACCGGAAGAAUAAGCCCCGGCUAACUUCGUG
Molecule: ribosomal RNA, 434 nt
Filed under: uncultured bacterium
Lineage: Bacteria
Description: partial 16S ribosomal RNA
Rfam family: Bacterial small subunit ribosomal RNA
Source: RNAcentral